RNAcentral lists this non-coding RNA (168 nucleotides) under uncultured Cellulosilyticum sp. RNAcentral's name for it is "Lysine riboswitch". It matches the Rfam family "Lysine riboswitch aptamer". Rfam says of the family: Riboswitches are metabolite binding domains within certain messenger RNAs that serve as precision sensors for their corresponding targets. Allosteric rearrangement of mRNA structure is mediated by ligand binding, and this results in modulation of gene expression. Lineage: Bacteria; Bacillati; Bacillota; Clostridia; Lachnospirales; Cellulosilyticaceae. The record is from RNAcentral.
GUAGAUAGAGGUUGCGAACUUUAAGAGUAUAUUUGUAGAGUUAAGCGCGUUGAAGCAAGUAGAAAGGAAAUUUCGCCGAAACCUAUAGUUAAUGCUUUAAGACUAUAGCGUUGGGGUUAUAUAAAAUAUGUAUAACACUGUCACAAACAUAGUUUGUGGAGGGCUAUC